GAUGAACGCUGGCGGCGUGCCUAAUACAUGCAAGUCGAGCGAACGGACGAGAAGCUUGCUUCUCUGAUGUUAGCGGCGGACGGGUGAGUAACACGUGGAUAACCUACCUAUAGGACUGGGAUAACUUCGGGAAACCGUAGCUAAUACCGGAUAAUAUUUUGAACCGCAUGGUUCAAAAGUGAAAGACGGUCUUGCUGUCACUUAUAGAUGGAUACGCGCUGCAUUAGCUAGUUGGUAAGGUAACGGCUUACCAAGGCAACGAUGCAUAGCCGACCUGAGAGGGUGAUCGGCCACACUGGAACUGAGACACGGUCCAGACUCCUACGGGAGGCAGCAGUAGGGAAUCUUCCGCAAUGGGCGAAAGCCUGACGGAGCAACGCCGCGUGAGUGAUGAAGGUCUUCGGAUCGUAAAACUCUGUUAUUAGGGAAGAACAUAUGUGUAAGUAACUGUGCACAUCUUGACGGUACCUAAUCAGAAAGCCACGGCUAACUACGUG
RNAcentral lists this ribosomal RNA (497 nucleotides) under uncultured bacterium. Its description in RNAcentral is "partial 16S ribosomal RNA". It matches the Rfam family "Bacterial small subunit ribosomal RNA", at positions 28 to 507 of the family's 1533-position model. The record is from RNAcentral.